RNAcentral lists this ribosomal RNA (500 nucleotides) under uncultured bacterium. RNAcentral describes it as "partial 16S ribosomal RNA". It matches the Rfam family "Bacterial small subunit ribosomal RNA", at positions 30 to 523 of the family's 1533-position model. The record is from RNAcentral.
AUUGAACGCUGGCGGCAUGCCUUACACAUGCAAGUCGAACGGCAGCACGGGAGCAAUCCUGGUGGCGAGUGGCGAACGGGUGAGUAAUGUAUCGGAACGUGCCCAGUCGUGGGGGAUAACGCAGCGAAAGCUGUGCUAAUACCGCAUACGAUCUAUGGAUGAAAGCGGGGGAUCGCAAGACCUCGCGCGAUUGGAGCGGCCGAUAUCAGAUUAGCUAGUUGGUGGGGUAAAAGCUUACCAAGGCGACGAUCUGUAGCUGGUCUGAGAGGACGACCAGCCACACUGGACAUGAGACACGGUCCAGACUCCUACGGGAGGCAGCAGUGGGGAAUUUUGGACAAAGGGCGCAAGCCUGAUCCAGCAAUGCCGCGUGCAGGAUGAAGGCCUUCGGGUUGUAAACUGCUUUUGUACGGAGCGAAAAGGCUCUCUCUAAUACAGGGGGCUCAUGACGGUACCGUAAGAAUAAGCACCGGCUAACUACGUGCCAGCAGCCGCCGUAA